RNAcentral lists this non-coding RNA (71 nucleotides) under metagenome. Its description in RNAcentral is "Environmental sequence SAH sequence". It matches the Rfam family "SAH (S-adenosyl-L-homocysteine) riboswitch aptamer". The record is from Rfam by way of RNAcentral.
CAUUAGCUGAGGAGCGCUGCAACUCCGGUUUACGGAACCAGGCUCAGCAAAUGAAACGGCGCUCGUUCCAA